UCUACACAGUCAGGUACAUCCCCAUGGGUUCUGGACUCUGGAGCUUCUUUUCAUAUGUCUUCUCAUUCUUCCGCUUUGUCCUCUCUUCGAUCGCUGGAUUCUCCUGUUCAUGUCUUCACUGCUGAUGGUACUCCACUUUCUGUUGCUAGUAGAGGCAAUCUUUCCACUCCUUCUUAUUCUGUUCCUGAUGUUGCUCAUGUUCCUCGACUUACCAUGAAUCUGUUUUCUGCUGGUCAACUUACUGAUUCUGGUUGUCGUGUCAUCCUUGAUGUUGACUCUUGUUCUGUCCAGGACCGUCGCACGCACACUCUGGUUGGGGCUGGCCCUCGCCGCCGUGAUUCUCAGGGUCUUUGGGAGUUGGACUGGCUUCAUGUUCCUUCCGCUGCCACCACCAUUGCCAGUUCCUCCGCUUCUGUCGCCUCUGUUACUGGUUCCUUCAAGCAGUGGCAUCAUCGACUUGGUCAUCUGUGUGGUUCUCGGUUGUCGUCUUUAGUUCGUCGAGGUCUUCUGGGGUCUGUCUCAGGAGAUGUCUCUUUAGAGUGUCAGGGUUGUCGUCUUGGCAAGCAGAUUCAGUUACCAUAUUCACAUAGUGAG
This 594-nucleotide ribosomal RNA is filed under the name Triticum aestivum (bread wheat). Its description in RNAcentral is "partial small subunit ribosomal RNA". The record is from RNAcentral. Lineage: Eukaryota; Viridiplantae; Streptophyta; Magnoliopsida; Poales; Poaceae.